GGUCCUUACAUAUGAUUUACAAAGGCCCACAAGGGGUCUAUACACAGAAAUAAAGAAGCGAAAGGGUGAACAUCCAUAGUGAAAACCUAAGGGCCUAGUCUACCCUUGAAGAUUCAUCUCAGAUAGCAGCAUCUUCUAGCGCCACCUCCUCGAGCUUGCUUCCUCGAAGGAAAUUCCUUUAAUCACCAGCUCCUCUAGGUUUCCAGCUCGAUCCUACGGAAUAACAUCACCAAGAGAUGAGAUGAAUAAGAGGAAAAGGGAAGGAUGUAGAUGAGGCAGAAAAAAGAGAGGUAACCUGCUAAAACCAAAGGUUGAAGAUUCAGUGGGCCCCAGCCUCGAUGACCGGUUAUGCCACUUUAUCCUUUGGGAAAGUACCCAAGUAAUGAAGUUCUAUACUAGGCCAGGGUAGGACAGUGAGAAGCAGUGUAUAAAUUAAACACUCUCCCGAGCAGCGGUGUAGAGUCCUAACGCCCUUCUCGGUCGGAAGAAGUGUGCCGCCCUUGUAUCAUCAUCUCGAGCCAAUAAGAGCAGCAAUAGCAAGUAUAACAACAACAACAACAACAACAACAACAACAACGACAAGACUGUAUGAUCCUGCACAACACGGGGAAGCUCAGGCAGAAGGCCACCACACAGCUGAUAAGAAUUCUGCCACAGAACCUUAAAGCUGUGAACCCCAAGAAUGAUGAUUAACAAUAAAAAAGAUGGCGAGAAGAAAGGGAUGAAUGAAAGGAAG
RNAcentral lists this long non-coding RNA (736 nucleotides) under Nicotiana benthamiana. Its description in RNAcentral is "long non-coding RNA (NBEN_LNC029196)". Lineage: Eukaryota; Viridiplantae; Streptophyta; Magnoliopsida; Solanales; Solanaceae. The record is from RNAcentral.